RNAcentral lists this unclassified non-coding RNA (458 nucleotides) under Hevea brasiliensis (rubber tree). The record is from RNAcentral. Lineage: Eukaryota; Viridiplantae; Streptophyta; Magnoliopsida; Malpighiales; Euphorbiaceae.
CGACACGAUAUCUUGAUAUAUGGGAGUCUGCUACCUUGGCUAUCAAGAGGGAUGGUUAUAGCAUCAAGGUUAAUGGGCCUGGUGGUGUUCUCGUCAGUGAGAAGUUUUCUCAAUCUACAAUUGUUACUAUUCCAUAUGGAAGUCCUACAGAAUUUUCGAUCCUUGAUAGUCGGGGAGUUGAGCAUCUUUUGAAGGCUGAGAAUGAUCAAGGAGACAUUAACUGUUCAAGGGAUACAAUUGUCCUCACCAUGAGACUAUUUAUUAUAAGGGCUGGUGAGAAGAAAAAAGGAAGGAGGAGAGGUUUGUUUUUCAACAAGUGAAAAGCUAGUCAGCCUUCCAAAACAUAUUUAUUAGUACACUUGUGUAUUCUUCUGUGAGUAGUUGAGCUUUUAGAUCUGUAUUUCUUUUGCUUUUUUUUUUGGUUACCAGUUCUGUUACAUAUUGUUAGUUCGCUCAGG